GCGGGCGUGGUGAAACUGGCAGACACGCUAGACUUAGGAUCUAGUGCUUACGCGUGCAGGUUCGAGUCCUGUCGCCCGCACCA
Molecule: transfer RNA, 83 nt
Filed under: Allobaculum sp.
Lineage: Bacteria; Bacillati; Bacillota; Erysipelotrichia; Erysipelotrichales; Erysipelotrichaceae
Description: tRNA-Leu
Rfam family: tRNA
About the family: Transfer RNA (tRNA) molecules are approximately 80 nucleotides in length. Their secondary structure includes four short double-helical elements and three loops (D, anti-codon, and T loops).
Source: RNAcentral